RNAcentral lists this ribosomal RNA (460 nucleotides) under uncultured bacterium. RNAcentral describes it as "partial 16S ribosomal RNA". It matches the Rfam family "Bacterial small subunit ribosomal RNA", at positions 338 to 795 of the family's 1533-position model. The record is from RNAcentral.
CCUACGGGGGGCAGCAGUGAGGAAUAUUGGUCAAUGGGCGUAAGCCUGAACCAGCCAAGUCGCGUGAGGGAUGAAGGUUCUACGGAUCGUAAACCUCUUUUAUAAGGGAAUAAAGUGCGGGACGUGACCCGUUUUGUAUGUACUUUAUGAAUAAGGAUCGGCUAACUCCGUGCCAGCAGCCGCGGUAAUACGGAGGAUCCGAGCGUUAUCCGGAUUUAUUGGGUUUAAAGGGUGCGUAGGCGGGUUUUUAAGUCAGCUGUGAAAGUCUGUGGCUCAACCAUAGAAUUGCAGUUGAGACUGGCAGUCUUGAGUAUGGUUGAGGUAGGCGGAAUGCGUGGUGUAGCGGUGAAAUGCUUAGAGAUCACGAAGAACCCCGAUUGCGAAGGCAGCCUGCUAAGCCAUAACUGACGCUGAUGCUCGAAAGCGUGGGGAUCAAACAGGAUUAGAUACCCUGGUAGUC